Molecule: non-coding RNA, 31 nt
Filed under: Homo sapiens (human)
Lineage: Eukaryota; Metazoa; Chordata; Mammalia; Primates; Hominidae
Source: RNAcentral
UCCNGAAUGGCCUAGGAAUGGGAAUCCUACU